RNAcentral lists this ribosomal RNA (433 nucleotides) under uncultured bacterium. Its description in RNAcentral is "bacterial SSU rRNA". It matches the Rfam family "Bacterial small subunit ribosomal RNA", at positions 29 to 507 of the family's 1533-position model. The record is from RNAcentral.
AACGAACGCUGGCGGCAGGCUUAACACAUGCAAGUCGAACGCCCACUUCGGUGGGAGUGGCAGACGGGUGAGUAACGCGUGGAAACAUACCUUUUGCUUCGGAAUAUUCCCGGGAAACUGGGAGCAAUACCGAAUGUGCCCUGAGGGGGAAAGAUUUAUCGGCAAAAGAUUGGUCCGCGUUAGAUUAGGUAGUUGGUAGGGUAAAGGCCUACCAAGCCUACGAUCUAUAGCUGGUCUGAGAGGAUGAUCAGCCACAUUGGGACUGAGACACGGCCCAAACUCCUACGGGAGGCAGCAGUGGGGAAUAUUGGACAAUGGGCGCAAGCCUGAUCCAGCCAUGCCGCGUGAAUGAUGAAGGCCUUAGGGUUGUAAAAUUCUUUCACCGGGGACGAUAAUGACGGUACCCGGAGAAGAAGCCCCGGCUAACUUCGUG